RNAcentral lists this non-coding RNA (26 nucleotides) under Rattus norvegicus (Norway rat). Lineage: Eukaryota; Metazoa; Chordata; Mammalia; Rodentia; Muridae. The record is from RNAcentral.
UGUCAAGUGUGUGGUAUGCUCCAUGG